Chrysemys picta bellii (western painted turtle) is the source of this 7935-nucleotide long non-coding RNA. RefSeq lists it as uncharacterized. The record is from RefSeq and is a predicted model, not a curated record. Lineage: Eukaryota; Metazoa; Chordata; Testudines; Emydidae.
CCCCCUCCUCCUCAGCCCCAGAUCGUGGAGCUAGAGGCGCAGCGGCAGCCGCCUGGGCCCCACAGCGGGGACCGUCUCCCUCCGCCCUUUCCUAGCCCGGGGCUCCGCGCGCGGGCGGGGGCGGAGCGACGCGAGGCCGGGGAGGGGCGGGCACAUCCGUGUCGCCGUGCGGGCCGGAGCUCCAUGCCCGUGGGGCCCCGCCCGGGUCGAGAAGGGAGCAGCUCGGAGUCGGGACAGGCAGCGCCCCGCGCCCGGGCGGAGCUGAGGGAGCCUCCCCCUUUUCCUUGGGGUACAGGACCCGGCACAAGACUCUCCCCCUCCCCCCGCUGGCUCAGUGGCUCUUCUCAGCCCGGAGCCCCUGAGCGAGGGGGUGUUACUGGGCUCCCAGCAACGCACCGGGGAGCGGCUCCUGCCCGCAGGACUGAGGCGGAGGUGCCCGGCGCACCGGGGCCUGUGCUGCGAUUUAAGCUUUUCUGGCUUCUUACAGGGAUGAGCGUGGUGUAAACAUCUGGCGAGCUGGGAAGUGUCGCCGCCCUGCCCGUAACAGCGCUGACAACACCUCGCCAAAAGGGGUGGGUGCUCUCCCAAGCCCGCUUCUUCCUUCCCCACCUCUCACCUAAGGGAAAAGCCUCAUUGCUCCCGCUGUCCUUGUACUGGUGGACUGACAGUGGGAACAGGUUGCAUCUUGACUGAGUCAUAGCGUGUAAGGCAAGAAGGGACCACCAGAUCAUCUACUCUGACCUAUAUAUCACAGGUACCAUUCCCAACCAGCACCCACACACUAAACCCAACAACCAAAACAGGUCAAAGUAUUGCAGCUCACAGGCCCUACCAAAUUCAUGGCUGUGAAAAAUGCAUCACAGACUGUGAAAUCAGAUCUCCCUUUAGGUGCAGGAACUAAGGGUGCUGGGUGUUUGGCCUCACCCCCUGGCUUGAAGUGGUUUCCAUCAUAUACGGGUUUACCAUUUGGUUCAAUGGCUGUCAGCAAACCUAUUAUACAAAUUGUUCCAGCACAACUGGAUCAACCCCAUGAUGAAAUCUAGCUAUUUGUGGGGGGAAGGGCAAGGCUGGAGGAGCCCCAGCCUGGAGCUCCUACUGUGCACCAGGCUCCAGCUGCUAGUCCUGGCUGGGCUGAGGAGGGAUGGGACUGCCUCUUCUCCUGCACAGCUGCUCUCAAGGGGAAGAUCAGACACACCUCUGGGUAUCUCCCCGGGCUGCAGGAAACUCUUUGGCUGCGCUGCCUUCAGAGCCCAGCUCUGAAGGCAGCACAGAAGUGAGGAUGGCAAUCCUGCGACUCCCCCUACAACAGCUUUGUGAGCCCCCCGCUACUGCCUUUUGGGUCAAGACCCCCACAGUUACAACACCCUGAAAUUUCAGAUAUAAACAUCUGAAAUAGACUAUUUUUAAAAUCCUAUGAUGGUGAAAUUGACCAAAAUGGACUGUGAAUUUGAUAGGGACCUAAUUAUGUGUCACAAGCAGAGAGUAAGAGGAACCAUGGUGCACUCAUUGCCCAAGGUCCCUGCAGUAGCAGUGAAUUGAUUGAGUAAAAUAUACCCAUUUAAUUCUAGCAAGUUAGCCACACCCCAUGCUGCAGAGGAAGGUGAAAAACCCCUAAGGUCACUGCCAAUCUGAACUGGGGAAAAAAUCCUUCUUGACCCUCCAUAUGGUGACCAGUUCGACCCUGGGCAUAUGAGCAAGAGGGAGAGAGAGAGAGAGAGAGAAUGUCCCAUGCCUCAUUAGCACAUUAGCCCAUGCUGUCCAGUGUCCAAUUUGCAGCCAUGCCCAACUCUGAUGCUUCAAAGUAAGGAGAUAAAAAAAAGCAGACUACACAGGAGGUUUGCAAAAUCCCUUCCUGAUCCCUGCAGGUGAUCAGCUGAAGCCCUGAAACGUGAUUUUAGAAACAUAAGACAUAAACCAGAAGGAGAUCCACAAGGUUGCUGAGCUCUGCCCCCUACACAAGCAACCCCAUUAUAUAAUCACACUCAUAACUAAUUACUUUGUUUGCCCCUACAACUCCUAUUGGGAGGCUGUUCCAGAACCUCACCCUUCUGAUGUUAGAAAGCUUCUAAUUUUCAGCCUGAGUUUGAUCAUGGCCAGUUCAUAUCCUUUUCUUGUGCCAACAUUAUUAUUCAGCCGAAAUAGCCCUUCACCCGCCCUGGUGUUUUCCCCUCUGAUGUAUUUACAGAGCGUAUUCAUAUAUCCUCUCAGCUUUCUUUUUGCUAGGCUAAACAAGCCAAGCUUUUCCAGUUUUCUGUCAAAAGAUAGGCCCUCCAUUUCCCUUGUCAUUCUAGUAGCUACUCUCUGUGCCUGUUUCAUUUUGAAUUCUUGAACAUGAGUGACCAGAAUUGUACCCCAUAUUCCAAAUGAGGUCUUACCAGUGCCUUGUACAAUGGCAUUAAAACUUCUCCGUCUACUGGAAACCCCUCAUCUGAUACAUCCUAGCAUUUGCCCUUUUUGCAGCUGCAAGCUUCCUACUCAUCUUGUGAACAGUCAACACACCCAACUCUUCUCUUCUGUCGCUUUCAACUAAAGAGCGCCCAGCUUGUAGCAGAAAUUCUUAUUAUUAGACUCUAAGUGCACGAAUCUUCACCUGUGUAAAAGGCUAUAAUAUUUACUAAAAUGCAUACAACACUCUUUGAUGACUGGAGUUCUAGUGGGUCAUAGUUACCUAUCUUGUUUGGGCAAUUCUCCCUUUCAAAAUCUUUUUGAAUGGAUUACAACUACGCACAAAAACCAGCCCAAGCAACCAGGAUUCAUUUCUGCAGCAGAAAGUGGAAUAGAGACUUCCAAUGCACACAUUUUUAAAAAAAAAAUUAAAAUUGGUGUAGUAAUUCCAAAAAAAUAAUCCCACUAAAUCUCUCCAAAAUCCUUAGGUUGACUCUGUGUAAAAUGGAGUGACCACAAUGGACUUGUGUCUUAUCUUUGGGGAAGGAUAAGUAGUAAAAAAAUUCUUCCACAUCCCUGUCAAAGAUGCUAAGGUUGGAUCUGUACAUAUUACAAAUAAAGACUACAGCUAUCUAUAUUUUAAUAAUGUAUGAUGCAUCCAUUGCCAUGGUAUCUGAUUGCAUUACAUACAUUAAAUUAAACAAGCCAUCAGUAUUAUUUAUAUAUAUAUAUAAAUAAUAUAUAUAUGGAGAAAUCAAACACACCAAUACAUCAAAGAAAAAAAUCUUCAGCGUCUUAGUUUAAUAAAGUCAAGCAAACACUUAGCUGAAAAGACAAGUCUUGCAUAGGGCCCUAAAGGCCAGCAAUCUCAGCCUCUGGAGGACAGCCAGUAAAAAGUGUUUAAAUACAAAUGUGGCUGAGUUUCAGGGCCAGCUCCAGGCACCAGCCUGGCAAGCAGGUGGUUGGGGCGGCCGCUCCGGAGAGGGGCGGCACAUCCAGCUAUUCGGCGGUAAUUUGGCGGACGGUCCCUCACUCCUGCUCGGAGUGAAGGACCUCCCGCCGAAUUGCCGCCGCAGAUCGCGAUCAUGGCUUUUUUUUGGCUGCUUGGGACGGCCAAAACCCUGGAGCAGGCCCUGCUGAGUUUCAGUGCCUGGUAUUGAGAAGACAUUGCAGUGCAAUGAUAAUUUAAAAAAAUAUAUAUAUUUUUGAUUUUCAAGAAACUUACUAUAUUAGAGUAUCGUCAACAAAGAAUUAUAUAAGUAGAAAAUCUUUAAAGUAGAGAGGGACAAACUCAGACUUUGGGGGAAUUUGCAAAAGGAAACUGAAUUUCACUAUCAGGUCCACUCACUGAAAAUUCUCUGUCUCUUGCCCCCACCUGAUUCAGUCAAAGGUUUCUUGGUCCAAGUGUCUCAGAUUAUUUCACCCCAAAUCCCUAAAUUGCACUAGAAAUGGACUAGCACACAAUGCAGAUCACUAAACAUUAUCACAAGUACAAACAAACAAAAAACCCAAACAAGCUCAAAACAUUUUUUGACAAAUAGGCUGCCACAUUCACAGCAGAUUAAGCUUCUAGGCUUGUUUCUCCACUGACAUUGCUUUUUCACUAGCGUAACUACAAUGGAGUGGAGCAGAAAAUCAGGCCCUCUUAGUGGUCUUCUAUUCAUAUUCAGUGCUUUGGAGAUAUUUUAGUUGAUUUUAUCAUAUAAAUAUUGUUUAGGCUUGGUGAGGACACUUUUUAAAUUACAAAAUACUGAGUUUCAAUUGCAUUAUUUAUUGAAAAUCUGAAUAAAAUCUAUCUCAAGCUGUUAUUUUUAAUUCUAGUUUGUUCCAGUUCUGCUUGUAUAUCAUAUCAAUGGUUCAUCUAAUACUUCUAAAAUGUUUUUCAUGUUGAGGGCUAUCACUCAUUUUAGUUCCAAAUGUACCUAUCUUCCACACAAAUUUAGGGUCCCCUCUCAUUUAUUGUUGGAAAUUAUUUACAGCAGAAAUAAAGGAUUGUGAAAAUAAACAUAUGCCAUAUGCAAAGAGUUAUUUGGAUUAGAGGAAUGGCUCUUACGUAAGUUUCCUGCAUGAAUAAUUUUUGUCCCCCUCAUUUUGUUUCUUUGUGAUAUAUUAUAUCCCACGCUUAUACUUUGGCAGGCUGAGAGGUAUGAUUUGUGCCUCCCCUGUAGCACUGUAUACCCUUGAUAUAAAACUUCUAACCUAAACAGAUUAAACCAGGUGAGUAGUCUCCAAAAAGGGGUGGGAGGUGAAGACUGUCACCAAGAUAAACAGCAGUGAGAGGAGCAGAUUACAUGGCGAUAAUUCUUCCCUCCCUCACAAGUAUAUUGUGAGACAUAAUUCAUUAAUGAGAAAAAUAAGGUAGGUGCAGACAUAUUUUUCAUUGGACCAAUAUCUGUUGGUGGAAAGUACAAACUUUUGAACUACACAGAGCUCUUCUUCAGGUCUGGGGAAGGAAGCAGAGUGAAUUAAAUACAAGUUGGGACAGAUUGCUAAGCAGAAGGACUAACAUGUUGGGGGUUGUUACUUGAAAUGAAGUGAGCAAUUGGGGGUUAGAUUUUUAUGCAUAAAGGUUUUGAAAGUGGGCAGUUAAGGGUAGCAUGUUAAUAAUAGGUUAAUUAAUUAAUAUUAGUAAAGUGUUUUGAAAUCCCAUGAAUGAAGCUGUUAAAGUGAAACAGUUACCCAGUUUUUCAUGUAUUCGUAACAGUUAAGGGGAUUCAUGCAUCUUUUUUCUUUCCAAGAUAGUGUUUAGCAAGUUUAUAUUGAAAUUUUUUUUAUCAAGUAUUCCCUACUUAUGCAAUUCUCUUGAGCAAAAACCUUUUCUACCAGUUGUGUCCCUAUGUAAUCUGAAGCCUAUUACUUGAAUGUUCAGUCCACUAGGGUUGGUAGGAAAUUAUUGUUGUCGAUAACUGUGAGCACUGGUGAUGCUUCCAGUUUAGCUUUCACUUGCCUAAUAUGGCAUCAGAUGGUAAAAGAGACUGAUUUUUGAAAAAAAGCAUAGGCAUGCAACUGCACAUGCAAAAUGGAUAUGCAAUUGAUGCCUAACUUGCACAUACCUGUACAAUGGAUGAAUUUAUAAAUCAGGUAAUAGCAGAUGCAAAUGCCAGAACUAUUUGUCUAUGCAAUUACCCAGACAGUGUCAUACAAACAGAACUUGUGCAAGCAAAUUAGGCAUGCUUUUGUGCACUUAGCCAUUUUAGAAUUUAGGCCCUACAGAUAAGGUUAAAAGGACUAGAAAGUUGGAGCUGAUGCCUGUUUUACAUGGUCUCUGCCCACUUUACCAAGAAAUCUAACCGCGGAACCCAGAAAUAUUUGAAAUUUGAGCCCUCCUCAUAGUCAUGUUUGCUGCAAUCUCUUGAGUAUGAAACAAACUUUUUUAUGUUGCUAUAGACAAUUUGCUGUACAUUUGCUUUAAAAAAGGCAUUUUAAAGACAAAUAGGUACAUUUAAUUGAUAAAUCAGCCUAGGGACUAUAUUAAUCUUUAUUAUGGAAAUUCUGCCUAACAGCAAAAUAGGUGGAUUACUCCAUCUGUCUAAAUCCCCUUUUGUAGUGUUCCACGGUGGUGACAUAUUUAAUUUAAAUAUAUUUUUAGCUUAACUCGGACCAAUUUUCCCCAGAUAUUUUAUGUGCUGUGUAACAAUUUGGAAGGAAAAAAGAAAGAUUCAAAAAUCCUGGCUAUAGAGACAGUCUAAGAAACUAGAUACAAUAAGAUUGGGUGAAGGAUCAGACCCACUGGACAUGACCUAAAAUUGUCAUAGUUAAUGCUGUAGUCAGAGAUGUGACUAAAGUUACUAAUAAUACCCAUUAAGGCCAGGAGUGAGUUCUGAAAGUUACAAAGCCAAGGAGCUUAGCCUCAUAACAUGCCAGACAAGGUUCUUCUUUUCCUAGAGCACAAAUAUGAACUCUUUGCUCACAAUAAUGAGGAGUUAAUCACAGAAGCAGUCCCAUUGGAGUCAGUUGGGCUACUGUUCUGAGUAACUGCUUGUCAGUGUGAGUAGAUGAUUUACAAUCUGGCCCAAACUGAAAUACCUUUUAUUUCUUUUGAAGAUCAUCUGAAUUUGACCCGGUAGUUGGGAUUUCCUCACUCUGACUCCUUGGUAUCAUGUAAUAAAUAGAAUGUUGUCAAAUGAAUCACAAUCUGGGUCCAUAUACAUUAGCUAGAUCCAUCCGACUCUUCAAAUCCAGAUUUUUCAAAAACAUUUAAAUAACCAUUGCCAUUGGCAGGGUCGGCUCCAGACACCAGCUUACCAAGCAGGUGCUUGGGGUGACCACUUCAAAGAGGGGCGGCAUGUCCAGCUGUUCGGCGGCAAUUCGGCAGAUGGUCCCUCACUCCUGCUUUUUUUUUUUGUUUGGCUGCUUGGGGCGGCCAAAACCCUGGAGCCGGCCCUGGCCGUUGGAUACACCGAUGAAGGUUAAACAUGUCCUAGUCCUAUAUUUCUAAGAGAAAUGUAUUGUAAAACAUCUCUUAUGAAACCCUGGUAUACCAGAGACAAAUACUGCUGUAUUAUAAAAGUAUUUUUUCUCCAGACAGCACAUGAAGAGCCAUACUAUGGACCAAGGACAGGUUCAAGAGUAUUUAGAUUUACUGAAAAAUAGGUACAAAGAAAAAGGAGACAACCUAAUAAAAAAAAAGACCAAAUAAAUUAUUUUUGAACUCUUAUCAUUCUCUAUCAAUUACUUUUUCAUCAAAUCACCAUGAAUUUAAAUUGUGCUCUAAGUUUUAUUCCAUAUUUUGUUUUUUGCCAUUUCAGUGAUAUUUUUAUAAAAUAAAAGGUCUAAAGGUCUUCUUAACAUUGAAUCAGAAAUCUUCAGUUUUAUUAUGGGGUUGUAAGCAGCGCCUCCAUAGGUCAAAAAGAACAUCUAUGGUUUGCUCAUAAGGAUCACUAAAGUUAACUCUUCGUUAGAAAAUACACUGUACAUAUUAAAGGGCUGAUCCAAUGUCCCCUGAAGUAAACAGAAAGACUCCCAUUAAUGUCAGUGGUCUUUGGAUCAAUGCAAAUAUCUGUGGGGAAUAAUCACAUCUACAAUAAACUAAGAUAUUGGUUUUUUUUCUUCUUUCUGAAUACAUUGACAUAAUCUAAACUUGACUAUGUUUAGUUACAGAACUAAGGUACAAUAUCAAACAUAUUUUUUAUACUAUAUCUGAUCUGUGUAGGCAUUUGCAUAUAAAUUUGAAGCCUCCAGACAGUCUAUUGUCAUGGAUUACAGGGUCUGUUCUAUACCCUUGCUUGUAACCGCAAUACUUUGGGAGUGUCCCCUGUAGUGUGCUGGGCUACCAGGACCCUGACAUUUCCACAGGGAUAGCCUACUGCCUCCACGACUCCAAAACUGGGUCUUCAGAUGCCAGCAAUCUUUAUUGUUCACAAUGGCUCCCUGCAGCAGAUCCAGAGAAGCAAGACUCCUGUGGAAGGCUUGUACUGUACUCCUUCAGGGCAUAAUGCUUUCAGUGAGUAUUUGCAGUGACACCUGGCAGCCUUUAAAAAAAAAAAGUAACAAUUUAUUUGUCAUCUGGAGUACAAAAUCUGAAUGUCCUUAAAUUAGACAUUAAGACAA